GACGAACGCUGGCGGCGUGCUUAACACAUGCAAGUCGAACGGAAAGGCCCUGCUUUUGUGGGGUGCUCGAGUGGCGAACGGGUGAGUAACACGUGAGUAACCUGCCCUUGACUUUGGGAUAACUUCAGGAAACUGGGGCUAAUACCGGAUAGGAGCUCCUGCUGCAUGGUGGGGGUUGGAAAGUUUCGGCGGUUGGGGAUGGACUCGCGGCUUAUCAGCUUGUUGGUGGGGUAGUGGCUUACCAAGGCUUUGACGGGUAGCCGGCCUGAGAGGGUGACCGGCCACAUUGGGACUGAGAUACGGCCCAGACUCCUACGGGAGGCAGCGGCGGGGAAUAUUGCACAAUGGGCGGAAGCCUGAUGCAGCAACGCCGCGUGCGGGAUGACGGCCUUCGGGUUGUAAACCGCUUUCGCCUGUGACGAAGCGUGAGUGACGGUAAUGGGUAAAGAAGCACCGGCUAACUACGUG
This 468-nucleotide ribosomal RNA is filed under the name uncultured bacterium. Its description in RNAcentral is "partial 16S ribosomal RNA". It matches the Rfam family "Bacterial small subunit ribosomal RNA", at positions 28 to 507 of the family's 1533-position model. The record is from RNAcentral.